RNAcentral lists this ribosomal RNA (253 nucleotides) under uncultured bacterium. RNAcentral describes it as "partial 16S ribosomal RNA". It matches the Rfam family "Bacterial small subunit ribosomal RNA", at positions 524 to 776 of the family's 1533-position model. The record is from RNAcentral.
UACGUAGGGUGCAAGCGUUGUCCGGAAUUAUUGGGCGUAAAGAGCUCGUAGGCGGUUUGUCGCGUCUGCUGUGAAAACCCGAGGCUCAACCUCGGGCCUGCAGUGGGUACGGGCAGACUAGAGUGCGGUAGGGGAGAUUGGAAGUCCUGGUGUAGCGGUGGAAUGCGCAGAUAUCAGGAGGAACACCAAUGGCGAAGGCAGAUCUCUGGGCCGUAACUGACGCUGAGGAGCGAAAGCAUGGGGAGCGAACAGG